RNAcentral lists this ribosomal RNA (252 nucleotides) under uncultured bacterium. Its description in RNAcentral is "partial 16S ribosomal RNA". It matches the Rfam family "Bacterial small subunit ribosomal RNA", at positions 524 to 776 of the family's 1533-position model. The record is from RNAcentral.
UACGUAGGGGGCAAGCGUCAUCCGGAAUUAUUGGGCGUAAAGAGUACGUAGGUGGCAACCUAAGCGCAGGGUUUAAGGCAAUGGCUCAACCAUUGUUCGCCCUGCGAACUGGGAUGCUUGAGUGCAGGAGAGGAAAGCGGAAUUCCUAGUGUAGCGGUGAAAUGCGUAGAUAUUAGGAGGAACACCAGUGGCGAAGGCGGCUUUCUGGACUGUAACUGACACUGAGGUACGAAAGCGUGGGGAGCAAACAGG